This is a long non-coding RNA of Zeugodacus cucurbitae (melon fly), 911 nucleotides long. RefSeq lists it as uncharacterized. NCBI's taxonomy places the organism in Eukaryota, Metazoa, Arthropoda, Insecta, Diptera, Tephritidae. The transcript has 3 exons. The record is from RefSeq and is a predicted model, not a curated record.
CUCAUAUUUCACAGCUUUCUUUGUCAAUAAAAAAUUAAAUUUUAUAACAAAAACAAUACGUAUAGAAUUUUUGGAUAUUGAAAUAUAAUCUGAAACCUUUUUAGUUAAUUUUAUUCGCAAAAUUCGAAGAAGUGAUAAACACCUAGCACUGAAUUCACCGAUUCUAGUUUUUCCAGUUUAUAGAGCUGCUUUGAUAAGUUGAUAAUUAAAAAGUUUUCAAAUCUGCUAAUAUUUUUUUUUUUUUCUUUUAUUGCCGGAAAUGUAGAACAUUGCUGUAGACAGCCACGAUUGGAGACCAGAAUUGCCACUACAAGUACAAAACUAGUUUGUGCGAAUCUAAAGCAGAUCUUAACGAAUUGGGUUAUUGAAGUAACCCUGAAGACUUUAAACUACAAUUUGAUUGAAGGAAAAACGAAAACAAAAAUUAAAAUUGGAUAUCGUGAAACGUUUUUACGAAAAAUAUACUAAAAUUAUGUGGACAUUUUUAUACUCUCGCAACAAAAGGUUGCUUUCGAAAAUGAGCAAAAUCGGACCACUGCCACGCCCACAAAAUGGCGAAAACCGAGAACACAUAAAGUGCCAUAACUAAGCCAUAAAUUAAGCUAUGGAAAUAAAAUUUGGUAUGAAGGAUCGCACUAUGAAGGGGCAUAUUUUGAUGUAAUUUUUUUGGGGAAGUGGGCGUGGCCCCGCCCCCAAAUAGGUUUUUUGUACAUAUCUCACAAAUCAAUAUAGCUAUGUAAACCAAACUUUCUGCAGUCGUUUUUUAGCCAUUUCUUAAUACAGUCCAAAAAUGAAAGAAAUCGAAUAAUAACCACGCCCACCUCUUAUACAAAGGUUAGGUUGAAAAUUAGUAAAAGUGGGUUAACUUAUUAACGAAAAACGGCAGAAACACUAAAUUUCACAUAGAAAAU